UCUGUGCCCAUGAGUUUUUAAGACAAAUUCAGAUUGUCUAACCAUUAUUCUGUCUGUGCAUUUUAGUUAAUAUUGCUGUGUGUUAAAGGAUAAAACAAGUCCUAAUGCCCAAAGUAUAUUAAAAGUGGAAGUAGUAAAAUAAUUCCUUUAUAAAUGCCCUUUUGUUAGUUUUUAGGAAGGACUGUUCUGGGAGUGUCUGUUAAUCUGCCUCUUGGAGCUAGAUGUAGUCCUGUACUUAGUCAUUGAAAUGGUGGAGGGAGCAGAGGAGGGAUGAAGGGAAGGGCUUUUUGCUAGUAUCUCCACAUCUAGAAGACAGUUUUACGUUAUAAACAUAAGUCUAUAUGUACAUUUUUAUAAAGUACCUGUGUUUGUUGUGGACAAGUUCAUUAUUUGGUAACAUCUAAGCCUUUUGGAUGUCCUGAGAUGACAGUGUAUGAUACAAUGUACAGCUACUGAAUUAACCAGUUUCUAAGUUUUUGUUGUUGUUAUAAUUGAUAGGAAGGAAGCAUUUUGGGCAUGGAAGUGUUAGGCUGUCUCUGAGAAAUGUAUGUCAGGACUUACUCAUUAGACUGGCCGCAGAGGGGCAGAAGGAAGUAUACUGGGAGAGAUGCGUCUUGUAGGGACAGAGUG
Leopardus geoffroyi (Geoffroy's cat) is the source of this 630-nucleotide long non-coding RNA. RefSeq lists it as uncharacterized. The transcript has 3 exons. NCBI's taxonomy places the organism in Eukaryota, Metazoa, Chordata, Mammalia, Carnivora, Felidae. The record is from RefSeq and is a predicted model, not a curated record.